RNAcentral lists this ribosomal RNA (472 nucleotides) under uncultured Actinomycetes bacterium. RNAcentral describes it as "bacterial SSU rRNA". It matches the Rfam family "Bacterial small subunit ribosomal RNA", at positions 28 to 507 of the family's 1533-position model. Lineage: Bacteria; Bacillati; Actinomycetota; Actinomycetes. The record is from RNAcentral.
GAUGAACGCUGGCGGUGCGCCUAAUGCAUGCAAGUCGAGCGACGCACUCCGGAGGGGUAACCCACUGGAAUGACGGAGCGGCGAACGGGUGAGUAACACGUGAGCAACCUGCCCCACAGAUCGGGAUAGCCCAGGGAAACCUGGAUUAAUACCGGAUAUCUUCGGAUGGCCACAUGGCCGACCGAGGAAAUGCCUUUGUGCUGUGGGAUGGGCUCGCGGCUUAUCAGCUAGUUGGUGGGGUAACGGCCUACCAAGGCAUUGACGAGUAGCUGGUCUGAGAGGACGAUCAGCCACACUGGGACUGAGACACGGCCCAGACUCCUACGGGAGGCAGCAGCAGGGAAUCUUGCGCAAUGGGCGAAAGCCUGACGCAGCGACACCGCGUGGGGGAUGAAGGCCUUCGGGUUGUAAACCCCUUUCAGGAGGGAAGAAAUUGACGGUACCUCCACAAGAAGCACCGGCCAACUACGUG